This 231-nucleotide long non-coding RNA is filed under the name Brassica napus (rape). RNAcentral's name for it is "long non-coding RNA (BNAP_LNC005173)". The record is from RNAcentral. Lineage: Eukaryota; Viridiplantae; Streptophyta; Magnoliopsida; Brassicales; Brassicaceae.
UCAGCUCUCCACCUGCAAAUCUCCAGUCACCGUCUAUUUCAACGAUGUCUCACCAGGAACAGCUGAUUCAGAGAUCCCAAUAUCAAGAUGGAGGUCGCUUCAGAGUGUACCAAUCUCAUGAAGAAGGUCUUGCAUCCUGUUUGAGCACGUAGUACCUUUGUUAUGUAAGAAUCUCAAAACACUAUAUUGGUUUUGGUUUGUGGGUUUAUAUCUCAAAGCUCUCCAGACUCA